UGGUUCUGGCAUCGAUGAAGGACGCAGCGAAAUGCGAUAAGUAAUGCGAAUUGCAGAAUUCAGUGAGUCAUCGAAUCUUUGAACGCACAUUGCGCCCUUUGGCAUUCCGAAGGGCAUGCCUGUCCGAGCGUCAUUAUCAACCCUCAAGCCUGGCUUGGUGUUGGACCGUUCGUCGUUUACCCGACGGGUCUCAAAGACAGUGACGGAGUCGUGUUGGACCCCCGAUGCAACGAGCUCUCGUAGCACGCAUGGCGGGGCCGGGCGUUCUUGGUCUCAACCAUUUAUUUUACAAGGUUGACCUCGGAUCAGGUAGGAAUACCCGCUGA
Molecule: unclassified non-coding RNA, 326 nt
Filed under: uncultured fungus
Lineage: Eukaryota; Fungi
Description: partial contains 5.8S ribosomal RNA and internal transcribed spacer 2
Rfam family: 5.8S ribosomal RNA (bases 1-133)
Source: RNAcentral